UCUGAUUCAGCGGCGGACGGGUGAGUAAUGCCUAGGAAUCUGCCUGAUAGUGGGGGACAACGUUUCGAAAGGAACGCUAAUACCGCAUACGUCCUACGGGAGAAAGCAGGGGACCUUCGGGCCUUGCGCUAUCAGAUGAGCCUAGGUCGGAUUAGCUAGUUGGUGAGGUAACGGCUCACCAAGGCGACGAUCCGUAACUGGUCUGAGAGGAUGAUCAGUCACACUGGAACUGAGACACGGUCCAGACUCCUACGGGAGGCAGCAGUGGGGAAUAUUGGACAAUGGGCGAAAGCCUGAUCCAGCCAUGCCGCGUGUGUGAAGAAGGUCUUCGGAUUGUAAAGCACUUUAAGUUGGGAGGAAGGGCAUUAACCUAAUACGUUAGUGUUUUGACGUUACCGACAGAAUAAGCACCGGCUAACUUCGUGCCAGCAGCCGCGGUAAUACGAAGGGUGCAAGCGUUAAUCGGAAUUACUGGGCGUAAAGCGCGCGUAGGUGGUUUGUUAAGUUGGAUGUGAAAGCCCCGGGCUCAACCUGGGAACUGCAUCCAAAACUGGCAAGCUAGAGUAUGGCAGAGGGUGGUGGAAUUUCCUGUGUAGCGGU
RNAcentral lists this ribosomal RNA (600 nucleotides) under uncultured bacterium. Its description in RNAcentral is "bacterial SSU rRNA". It matches the Rfam family "Bacterial small subunit ribosomal RNA", at positions 86 to 682 of the family's 1533-position model. The record is from RNAcentral.